GACGAACGCUGGCGGCGUGCCUAAUACAUGCAAGUAGAACGCACAGUUUAUACCGUAGCUUGCUACACCAUAGACUGUGAGUUGCGAACGGGUGAGUAACGCGUAGGUAACCUGCCUGGUAGCGGGGGAUAACUAUUGGAAACGAUAGCUAAUACCGCAUAAUAUUAAUUAUUGCAUGAUAAUUAAUUGAAAGGUGCAAUUGCACCACUACCAGAUGGACCUGCGUUGUAUUAGCUAGUAGGUGAGGUAACGGCUCACCUAGGCGACGAUACAUAGCCGACCUGAGAGGGUGAUCGGCCACACUGGGACUGAGACACGGCCCAGACUCCUACGGGAGGCAGCAGUAGGGAAUCUUCGGCAAUGGAUGAAAGUCUGACCGAGCAACGCCGCGUGAGUGAAGAAGGGUUUCGGAUCGUAAAGCUCUGUUGUAAGAGAAGAACGGGUGUGAGAGUGGAAAGUUCACACUGUGACGGUAUCUUACCAGAAAGGGACGGCUAACUACGUG
This 505-nucleotide ribosomal RNA is filed under the name uncultured bacterium. RNAcentral's name for it is "partial 16S ribosomal RNA". It matches the Rfam family "Bacterial small subunit ribosomal RNA", at positions 28 to 507 of the family's 1533-position model. The record is from RNAcentral.